This 465-nucleotide ribosomal RNA is filed under the name uncultured bacterium. RNAcentral's name for it is "partial 16S ribosomal RNA". It matches the Rfam family "Bacterial small subunit ribosomal RNA", at positions 28 to 507 of the family's 1533-position model. The record is from RNAcentral.
GACGAACGCUGGCGGCGUGCUUAACACAUGCAAGUCGAACGGAAAGGCCCCCUUGUGGGGUGCUCGCGUGGCGAACGGGUGGGUAACACGUGAGUAACCUACCCUUGACUUUGGGAUAACUUCAGGAAACUGGGGCUAAUACCGGAUAGGAGCUCCUGCUGCAUGGUGGGGGUUGGAAGGUUUCGGCGGUUGGGGUUGGACUCGCGGCUUAUCAGCUUGUUGGUGGGGUAGUGGCUCACCAAGGCUUUGACGGGUAGCCGGCCUGAGAGGGUGACCGGCCACAUUGGGACUGAGAUACGGCCCAGACUCCUACGGGAGGCAGCAGGGGGGAAUAUUGCACAAUGGGCGGAAGCCUGAUGCAGCAACGCCGCGUGCGGGAUGACGGCCUUCGGGUUGUAAACCGCUUUCGCCUGUGACGAAGCGUGAGUGACGGUAAUGGGUAAAGAAGCACCGGCUAACUACGUG